This 55-nucleotide transfer RNA is filed under the name Egernia cygnitos. RNAcentral describes it as "partial tRNA-Leu". Lineage: Eukaryota; Metazoa; Chordata; Lepidosauria; Squamata; Scincidae. The record is from RNAcentral.
CUUUUAAAGGAUCCAAGUCUAAUCCGUUGGUCUUAGGAGCCAAAAUCCUUGGUGC